GUUCGAGUGCGAAAUUGAAUAUGCAAAUAAUGUGUGCUGUGGCCUGUAAUUGAACAAACUGAUGGGUCGUCUUUAUGUUUGUGUUUGCACCUGAUUAGCGGACAAUUAAUGCAAAUCGGCAAUUAAAAGCUCCCUGAAAUGCCAAAUAAACAAAAUACGAGUAAUUAAAUUAAUUUCCGUGCUGGACA
This is a long non-coding RNA of Drosophila erecta, 188 nucleotides long. RefSeq lists it as uncharacterized. NCBI's taxonomy places the organism in Eukaryota, Metazoa, Arthropoda, Insecta, Diptera, Drosophilidae. The record is from RefSeq and is a predicted model, not a curated record. The transcript is spliced from 2 exons.